CCUAUCGGUACCGGCCGCUAAAAGCCUACAAACAAUACACCAGAUGGAAACCUCCCCAUCUUCUUCAGCUGCUGCUGUACAGUCUCACUUGCAAACCCUAACUUCCCGAGGUUGGUGCUUCAAACACGUCGAUCAAGUCCAAGCUCUAGUAGCAGCUGAAUUAUCUUCGCGUCUCACCGUGGAUUCUGUCGAAUCGGCACUCCUCAACAUGGACUUGCGAUCCAUUGGGGGGAAAUCUUUGGCUGAACUUUCCCAUCUCCGCCAUGCCUCGCAUCUACAAGGCCCCAAAGUCCUUCAGAUAUCUUCUGUUAGAGAUAUAGGUAAGAGCAAUGUGGCUGAGAGUUUAGGAAAUUCGAGUAAUAGACGCCUGCUGAGAUUCAACCUUACUGAUGGCCAAACUGAAAUAGUUGCCGUAGAGUAUUCUCAUCUGUCAUCAAUUCCAGAUGACGUAGUGCCUGGCACUAAGGUUCUGUUGGAGAAUAAUGCCAAGGUUCGCAAUGGAAUUGUCUGCUUAGAUGCCAAAGUGACGAGAGUUUUAGGAGGUCGGGUUCAGUCACUGUAUGAAGAAUGGGAGAUGAACCAAAAAUAUUCAGCGUUUUCACGUUCAGCCUUGCGACCAUUGAAUGAAACUGCAGCUAGUUGCCCUCCACGAUUUGAGAAGUUCCAAGUUGGUGCAUCUUUGCAACAGCAGAGCAGAACUUCUCAAUAUUCCAGUAGUAGCCUGGGGACCGCUUCUGAAAUUGGUGAAAGUUCGACAUCAAGGCAGAUGAGUGAAUCUCAGAGCCGCAGCGUCAUAAUGGAUAGCCGGCAAACUGAAGUACAGCCGCCAGCUCGUGUUGAAAAUGCUGAAGAUAACUCCACCAACUUUCACGCAAGGCAAAAAGAAGUGGCUGAAUCUAUCCCCGUUCAAAACCAAGCAGCUGCUCAAAAACUCCUCCAGAGAAUGAGUCAGCCCAACCAUGAUAAUAAGCAUUUCCGGGGGAGGAGACAUGGGAGGAAAGAAAAGGAGGAAGAUACUGCAACCCUCACUUUAGAUGAGUGGGAAAGGAGAAAAACCGGGAUAAGCAGUUCAACAGCACACAGCCUAGAUGAUGUCAGCUUAGAUGAGGACCUUGCACGACAGCUUCAAGAGAAAUUUGAUUUGGAAGAUGUUCAUGUUCAGAAGAAUCCUAAUGCAACGGAGGCAGAGAAUAUAAGAAUGAGCAUGUUUAAUUUUGAAAGAGAUGAUCCUAGAGCCCAUGGUAGGAUGGGAUUUAGAGGCAGAGGUAGAGGUAGUGGAAGGGGAAGAGGAAGGAGUGGAGGCAGGGGAAGGUGGUGAUUUUUCACAUGUUUGGCUUCUCCUUAUUGUUCUGAACAUUGCUUUGGCUUUUGGUGAUUGCUAUGCCCAAGAUGUGCGCAUGCAACUCUGAAGAGACUUCUAACCUCAGGGUGCAUACGAAUUCAUCUGUCGGAAGUGGCUUCUAACCUCAGCGUGCAUAAGAAUUCAUCUGGUGUUGUUAACUUCCAACUUUUACCUGAAUGGUCUUACCAAAUGGAUGAGAAAUCUCCAUGUCCUAGGUACUCCUUGCUGCCCAUUUAACAGGUACAGAUCUUUGUUGAUCUAAUUCUGCUUGAUGAUCAAGAUUUAACUGAUGCAUUGAUCAAGCGACUUGUGUAAAUAGUACUAUUAAGUGUAAUCCGGAACAUAUUCCUCUGUCCAGAACAAAUCAAAAGAAAUAGGUGCUAACAUGUCUUUCCUUUGUUUUCAUUUCAAACAUUAUCUUUGUUCAGUUAAAUCUUGCCGAUGCUCUUAACCAUCUCAUGGUGCAAUCUGAGAUUAGGAAGCCCGGAAGUGCACUGCAAUGGUUAGAUUCAACACAGGGACAUGGACUAAGUAGAUAACCUUGUACCUCAAUGUUACAUUUGGUGUUACUUGUUGAAGAGUGGAAGAAGAAAUGCAAAACUGACUGCCAACUGUCAAAAUUUUGAUGGAUAUUUUUGUCGUGUAAGCUAGGGCAGUCUACAACUAAUCUCCAGGCUUCCAGUAGAUUUUUGAAAUUUCUAUACCUUUUUGGGUAAAUCAAGUUCCCUGUUUGAAGAA
Coffea eugenioides is the source of this 2080-nucleotide RNA transcript. It is a transcript of the gene named tudor domain-containing protein 3, with no coding region annotated. Lineage: Eukaryota; Viridiplantae; Streptophyta; Magnoliopsida; Gentianales; Rubiaceae. The transcript has 7 exons. The record is from RefSeq and is a predicted model, not a curated record.